This 806-nucleotide ribosomal RNA is filed under the name Actinomycetospora sp. Its description in RNAcentral is "bacterial SSU rRNA". It matches the Rfam family "Bacterial small subunit ribosomal RNA", at positions 48 to 857 of the family's 1533-position model. The record is from RNAcentral. Lineage: Bacteria; Bacillati; Actinomycetota; Actinomycetes; Pseudonocardiales; Pseudonocardiaceae.
CUUACCAUGCAAGUCGAGCGGUAAGGCCCUUCGGGGUACACGAGCGGCGAACGGGUGAGUAACACGUGGGUGACCUGCCCUCCACUCUGGGAUAAGCCCGGGAAACUGGGUCUAAUACCGGAUAGGACCUCUGGAUGCAUGUCUGGUGGUGGAAAGUUUUUCGGUGGGGGAUGGGCCCGCGGUCUAUCAGCUUGUUGGUGGGGUGAUGGCCUACCAAGGCGACGACGGAUAGCCGGCCUGAGAGGGUGAUCGGCCACACUGGGACUGAGACACGGCCCAGACUCCUACGGGAGGCAGCAGUGGGGAAUCUUGCGCAAUGGGCGGAAGCCUGACGCAGCAACGCCGCGUGGGGGAUGACGGCCUUCGGGUUGUAAACCCCUUUCGCGAUCGACGAAGCCGCACUUUCUGGGUGUGGUGACGGUAGGUCGAGAAGAAGCACCGGCCAACUACGUGCCAGCAGCCGCGGUAAUACGUAGGGUGCGAGCGUUGUCCGGAAUUAUUGGGCGUAAAGAGCUCGUAGGCGGUGUGUCGCGUCGGCCGUGAAAACCUGGGGCUCAACUCUGGGCGUGCGGUCGAUACGGGCAUCACUUGAGUUCGGCAGGGGAGACUGGAAUUCCUGGUGUAGCGGUGAAAUGCGCAGAUAUCAGGAGGAACACCGGUGGCGAAGGCGGGUCUCUGGGCCGAUACUGACGCUGAGGAGCGAAAGCAUGGGUAGCGAACAGGAUUAGAUACCCUGGUAGUCCAUGCCGUAAACGUUGGGCGCUAGGUGUGGGGUCCAUUCCACGGAUUCCGUGCCGCAGCUAACG